UAGUUGAGAUCAGACCCCUAAGAAACCGAGGAUGCAAAGAGUUUGCUGCGUAUAAUGAUGAUAGUGGUAUAAUCAGCUGCAAUAGCAGCUUAGGUCACAAUAGUUGAGGGAGAGGAGGAGAGGGAAGAGAGGGUAAGAGAGAGAAGAAAAUUUCAAAUAGAGCACGGAGGCGAGAUAGAUAUCAACGCAAAGAUGUUUAGAGGAGGUGGCAUGG
This 214-nucleotide long non-coding RNA is filed under the name Elaeis guineensis (African oil palm). RNAcentral describes it as "long non-coding RNA (EGUI_LNC036775)". Lineage: Eukaryota; Viridiplantae; Streptophyta; Magnoliopsida; Arecales; Arecaceae. The record is from RNAcentral.